UAAUGAGAGCUUUUGAAAUAG
Molecule: non-coding RNA, 21 nt
Organism: Caenorhabditis elegans
Lineage: Eukaryota; Metazoa; Nematoda; Chromadorea; Rhabditida; Rhabditidae
Source: Ensembl